CCCCAGCACCUAGCGCCAGCCACUGCACCGGUUGCGGCACAGGUCCCCACCCCCGCUCCGGCCCCUAUCAGCUCCGGCAUUCCACUCCCUCCUACACCCCUCUUGCCUCCCAAAACCUGGCUCCCUCCUCCACACCCCACUCCCUUCUACGAUUCCCCCAAACCUCCUGCACCCCUUGCCUAUCCCCCCUCCCCAGUGUCCCCUCUGCCCCCAGUGUCCCGGUCCCCUUUAGCAGGGAGGGGAUCGAGCUGUUCUUGAAACGCCAGAGCGCCCUGGACAGUCUGUCCGCUGGGCUCGGCCGCGUUUAGCACCUAGCAGGCUGUGCGUAAACCCUAUCCCUGGUCCAAAGGGGCCCCCGCCGGCCUGCGUCUUGCCAGCUCGGAGGCUCGGAGGCGGUGUGAGUGGUUAGAAGAAACUUUCCAGCACAGCGCCCUGCAGAAGCAGACGGUGCAUCUGUCAGCACCGCUCUCCCGGCGGGCGGCUUGCAACGGAGCUCCGGUGUGUUCCAGGGCAGUCGCUGCGGAAAGGAGGCGAAGCGUCCUCCUUCUUUUCCGUUUGUCCCUGUUGAGUACAUUGAACAGCGCCAGAGCCAAUAAUAAUAUUUUUCAAACUGUGGAUGUCUUGGAACGUGUUCAGACCUGGAAGACAGAAGAUCUAGACCUGCGUCUGAGACUUGCCACUCUUCUGUUUGACCUUGAGCAGUGGCUUCACCUUGAAAUGGGGUCUUUAUUCCCCAUGCCACACGGCUGUGUGUGAACCAAGAUCACGGUGGCAUCGCCCUGGUAUUUAUCCCGGACAAUCGGCUUCUCCUCGUGAACACUUCUGAAGACGAAUUUCCCAAAGCGCCGCCUGAAUACCAACUCCGAAGACAAAAGAACGCCCAAGAAAGGAAAAGAAAAGCCGAGCAAUUAAGUCUUUUAGCUCGUGGUGCAAGAGCCUGGUUUGUUUGUUUUGUUUUUGUAAGUCUCUAACGAUUGAAAAAAGAUUUCACGGAAGAUUCUGGCUGAUAGUUACUGUCCCUGACAUUGUGACAAGCUGGGGUGGGGUGUGUGUGUGUGUUUAGUUAAGAGGGGACAGAGUUGUUUGGGGACUUGAGGAAUAAAAAGCAAGCUCA
Molecule: long non-coding RNA, 1114 nt
Organism: Echinops telfairi (small Madagascar hedgehog)
Lineage: Eukaryota; Metazoa; Chordata; Mammalia; Afrosoricida; Tenrecidae
Exons: 3
Source: RefSeq, a predicted model, not a curated record